RNAcentral lists this non-coding RNA (778 nucleotides) under Cleroidea sp. 5 KM-2017. The record is from RNAcentral. Lineage: Eukaryota; Metazoa; Arthropoda; Insecta; Coleoptera.
UUAAAGUUUUAUUCUGGCUUGGGAAUUUCUUUAGUAUAUUAUUUUACAUGUAAGUUUAUGCGUGAAUUACUGUAUCUUAAAUAGUGGGUUCUUUUAUUCGCAGUAUAAAGUAUUAUAUUAUCAAGGGGUCUUGGAUUUAGAAAUAUACGUUAAUGUUGACCAAGCUUGUGCCAGCAGUUGCGGUUACACAAGCAGCGUGAAGAAAUUAGGUUGGCUGAAAUUUGUUUGUUAAUUUUAAUAGUUUAAUAUUUAAUUUAUUAGGUGAAAUUUUAAAUUGAAUUUGUAUUAUUAUGGAUUUAUUGAAGUUAAGAAAUUUAGUUUUAAACUAGGAUUAGAUACCCUAUUAUUUUAAAUGUAUUUAUAAAGGCCUAAUUAGUAUUAGUUAUGUUCUUGAAAGUUAAAGAAUUUGGCGGUAUUUUAGUCUAUCCAGAGGAACCUGUCCUGUAAUCGAUAAUCCACGAUUUUUUAUACUUGUUUUAAAUAAGUUUAUAUAUCGUCGUGGUUGAAUAUUUUAGGAGAAUUAUAAUGUUCAGGAUUUUUUAUUAUAUAGGAAUUCAGAUCAAGGUGUAGCUUAUAGACAAGCAGAGAUGGGUUACAUUAAAGUAAUUUUUGGAUUAGUGAAGUUUAUUUUUCUAUGAAAUUGGAUUUGGAAGUAAUUGGGUUUAAAUUUUUCCAGUGAUUUUAGCUCUAAAAUAUGCACAUAUUGCCCGUCACUUUUGUUUUAAGAUAAAAUAAGUCGUAACAUAGUGGACUCACUGGAAAGUGAGUCCAGAAGGAG